UUUCCGUAGGUGAACCUGCGGGAGGAUCAUUGUCGACCU
Molecule: ribosomal RNA, 39 nt
Filed under: Urtica spatulata
Lineage: Eukaryota; Viridiplantae; Streptophyta; Magnoliopsida; Rosales; Urticaceae
Description: partial 18S ribosomal RNA
Source: RNAcentral